CUCAUCUCCAUUUAAAAUUCUUUUCGGAUCAUCCAUAAUAUCCAAACAAUUAUUUGCUUUUAGAUAUUCGCGCAGUUCCUUGAACCAGUUUUCGAUGGACUCCUUUGUGACGAUGGCUCUUCCUUUCGAUAUUCCCUCUGCAACACGUUGAGUUAUAUCCCUAUGUCUACCUAAAAAUAGUCGAUACCAAGUAUCUCCUGGCUUAUCAUUGACAAAUUUUGAAAUCCAAUGUCACAGGAAUUAUCCACCCACUCAGUGAUUUUACUUUCCCCAGCACGUGAUAACUCUGGUUCCGGCCCUCGUCGCUUUUCAUAUUGGGAAAUUUUGCCAUUUCUAAUGUCACUUGAGGUUGACCGCGGAAUAUCGUAGAGUAUAGCCGUUUUUCUUAAUGAUUGACCGUUUUCUAAUGCACGUAAUGCCUCUUUGAUAUUCUUUUUCAAUUUUAAUCCUUUUUCCUCAUCUUCACUUUCUAAUAUUAGAUGAUCAUUUUCUUUUUCACUCAUAAUGAAUAAUUAAAUUAAUUUUCACUUAGAAUACUACUUUGAUGUGAGCUUGGGGAGAGCUUUAUACUAACUACACUUUAACGGCUUAUAGAUUCUUUUUUAUAAUAAUUUCGAAUUUCCCGGUAACGGAAAAUUCAAAUUUUUCCAAAUAUAUAAUGUUCCAGAUGAUCGAUAAAGUAGAUACUGAUGAUACCAACGCUAUCAUCAUUUUUAUUGCACGGGCCACGGAUGCGAAAAUUAUUACAUGGAAAUGAUUCAUUGAAUAAUUAUUGAAUUGUAAUAUUGGAAAUCAUCAUUAAUAAUUCAUAUUAUUAAAAAAUUGUGUUUAAAAAACAGGUCUGAAGAAAUAACAAGACCUGUCACUAAUUUUGCUGUCAACUGUAAAUAAAAUCAUUUUUAUGGUCUUAUUGAUUCAGAACACCUUGCUAUUGUUCCAUGUGUUGAAGCAAUAGCAAAUACAGUGACACAUGCAAGGUUUGAAGGAACUGAUGCUUCUGAAGACGGAGUAGUUCUCAUGAGAAUACUUCAGGUAUUGAGGGCUCUAGUUUUGUCACAACCUGGAGAUAAUUUAUCUAACGAGAGCAUAUGUGAAAUAAUGCUUAGUUAUUUUAGAAUUAGUUUGGAAACUCGUCUCAGUGAAUUAAUAAGAAAGACAGCAAACAUUGUUUACGCGAUAUGGUUUAUCAUUUGUUUGUGAGGCUAUCUCAAUUUGCUGAUGAUACUAGAGGACUUCUUAGCAUGAGGAAAAUGAGCACAAACAGGAUGGAAACAAAAAAAAGUAAACCUAAGAAAAAUAAAAUUAGUGCAAAACCAAAGUCCAAUUUAAAACUUGAUGAUAUGGAUGACGCAUAAGCUCAGUUUCUAAGUCCAAUUGAAAAGGUUGAAAAAGUCAAAGUCAAUCAUAUAGCUACUACAUCUAUUUCACCUGCUGGCAACAUAGUUGAUAUGCAAGGUUCAUGAAAUCAUGGAACAUCAGAUAAAUCUGAUAUUGGUAAAGGUGAUUCUAAAACCAGUGCAUUGAGAUAUUAAUGGCAAGGGAAAUUCUGAAUCACAUAAUGUAAUAACUGAUCCUGAAAAGAAGAUUUCUAAGAAUGAAAAUUUGGAAAAUGGUUAAGAGAUUGAAAGUUUAAAUAAUGAUAAUAAAUUAUCUGACGAGCAAGUGGAUAAUAAAGUUGGACAAGUUUGAAAUCUUGAAAAUAAUCAAGGAAACGCUGAGAACGAAUGCAAUGAUGUUCAAUCACUAAGUGGCAGUAUUGAAGAUCUAUCUGUUGAUGAUGGUAUCAAUAACACUAAUUUGCCAAAUAAUAAACCUGAUGGUGAAUCUGUUAAGGAAUAUGUGAAUUUACAAGGAAUCAGAUUUACUACAGUUCAGCAGCAUACUCCUUAAUGUUCUCUAUGCAUCAGGGAACUAUUCAGAUUUUUAGUAUCUUUAUACAGUCCAAAGCAAAACCCAUAAGCAAAAAUCUAAAGUCAUGAUACAUUUAGGAUUGAGUCUAUUGCAAGUAGUUCCGGAAGUAGCUGCAGAUUCUGUUAUAUGUUAUAUUAAUACUACAUUUCAAAAUUAAAUGAAAAUUCAUUUAUAAAAAUUUCUAUUAUUGUUGAUUUUCAUGUUUAAAAUUGUUAUAAUUUUUUCUAGUUACUGGGUACAGACAGUUUGUCAAUUUUAGCUGCAGAUGUACGGGUUUCAUUUUUACUUUUUGAAUCUCAGCGUGAAACACCUCAAAUUUCAAUUUGAACAGUUCAUUGUAAAGUCGAUGGAUAUAAUUAAUUCUGAUUUAAAUCGAAUUACUUUUUGAACAAAGAGAACUUGCUUUAGAAGCUAUACUACGUUUGUGGAAGAUACCUGGUUUACCAGGAGAACUUUUUCUAAAUUAUGACUGUGCCUUAUUUUGUAUAAAUUUAUAUGAAGAACUGAAGAAAAUGCUAUCAAAGGUACUGUUCAAUAAUGUCUCGACAAUGGCUAGUAGUAUGUCUAGUUUAUAAUUUAUUGCUUUGGAUGCAAUAUUUACUUUAAUUGCUGGUAUGGAAGGAAGGUGCAAAGGAAAUACAGAAAUGUUAAAAACCUCUCGACAAACCGCUUUGCCUAAUCUGCCAGCCAAAGAUGUUUUAAUAGAUACGAAAACAUAGAAAAGAGUUUAAUUACAAAAGCUGCGAUUUUUAUUUGUCUUUUAAACAUGUAGACUGUUUUGUAAUUUUUUUUUAUUAAAUGUAGAAGAAAAAUAG
This 2726-nucleotide long non-coding RNA is filed under the name Trichogramma pretiosum. Its description in RNAcentral is "uncharacterized LOC106655640, transcript variant X2". The record is from RNAcentral. Lineage: Eukaryota; Metazoa; Arthropoda; Insecta; Hymenoptera; Trichogrammatidae.